GAUUUCUGGCUUGGCGCGCCUGGCCCGCUACCGUUAGGUAUGUGAGUGCCGGGUCGUGUCUGCCAUCCUUCUAGAAAACGUUUCUACUCUUCACUGAGCCGGAGGCGCAAUCUAGAUCUUUUACUUUGAAAAAAUUAGAGUGUUUCAAGCAGGCUUUAUGCUAUGAAUACAUUAGCAUGGAAUAAUAAUUUAGGACUUCGGUUCUAUUUUGUUGGUUUCUAGGACUGAAGUAAUGAUUGAUAGGGAUAGUUGGGGGUGCUAGUAUUCAGCGGCCAGAGGUGAAAUUCUCGGAUUCGCUGAAGACUAACUUAUGCGAAAGCAUU
This 323-nucleotide ribosomal RNA is filed under the name uncultured Allapsidae. Its description in RNAcentral is "SSU rRNA". The stretch from base 106 to 323 matches the Rfam family "Eukaryotic small subunit ribosomal RNA", at positions 737 to 955 of the family's 1831-position model. Lineage: Eukaryota; Cercozoa; Glissomonadida; Viridiraptoridae. The record is from RNAcentral.